Molecule: ribosomal RNA, 454 nt
Filed under: Leptotrichia sp. oral taxon 212
Lineage: Bacteria; Fusobacteriati; Fusobacteriota; Fusobacteriia; Fusobacteriales; Leptotrichiaceae
Description: bacterial SSU rRNA
Rfam family: Bacterial small subunit ribosomal RNA
Source: RNAcentral
GAUGAACGCUGACAGAAUGCUUAACACAUGCAAGUCGAUGGGGAAGUGGUGCUUGCACCAUGGUAACCAUGGCGGACGGGUGAGUAACGCGUAAGGGACUUACCUGCAGGACUGGGAUAACAGGGGGAAACUCCUGACAAGACCGGAUAAUGUCAUGGAGCUGCAUGGCUUUAUGAUUAAAGGAGACGCCUGCGGAGAGCCUUGCGUCCUAUUAGCUAGUUGGUGAGGUAAGGGCUCACCAAGGCGAAGAUAGGUAGCCGGCCUGAGAGGGUGGACGGCCACAAGGGGACUGAGAUACGGCCCUUACUCCUACGGGAGGCAGCAGUGGGGAAUAUUGGACAAUGGGGGCAACCCUGAUCCAGCAAUUCUGUGUGCACGAAGAAGGUUUUCGGAUUGUAAAGUGCUUUCAGCAGGGAAGAAGGAAGUGACGGUACCUGCAGAAGAAGCGACGGUA